UACGUAGGUGGCGAGCGUUGUCCGGAUUUACUGGACGUAAAGGGAGCGUAGGCGGACUUUUAAGUGAGAUGUGAAAUACCCGGGCUUAACUUGGGUGCUGCAUUUCAAACUGGAAGUCUAGAGUGCAGGAGAGGAGAAUGGAAUUCCUAGUGUAGCGGUGAAAUGCGUAGAGAUUAGGAAGAACACCAGUGGCGAAGGCGAUUCUCUGGACUGUAACUGACGCUGAGGCUCGAAAGCGUGGGGAGCAAACAGGAUUAGAUACCCCGGUAGU
This 271-nucleotide ribosomal RNA is filed under the name uncultured prokaryote. Its description in RNAcentral is "partial 16S ribosomal RNA". It matches the Rfam family "Bacterial small subunit ribosomal RNA", at positions 524 to 794 of the family's 1533-position model. The record is from RNAcentral.